This 578-nucleotide ribosomal RNA is filed under the name Streptomyces sp. HRRP008. RNAcentral describes it as "bacterial SSU rRNA". It matches the Rfam family "Bacterial small subunit ribosomal RNA", at positions 102 to 694 of the family's 1533-position model. The record is from RNAcentral. RNAcentral also lists the same sequence under 5 other names. Lineage: Bacteria; Bacillati; Actinomycetota; Actinomycetes; Kitasatosporales; Streptomycetaceae.
ACGGGUGAGUAACACGUGGGCAAUCUGCCCUUCACUCUGGGACAAGCCCUGGAAACGGGGUCUAAUACCGGAUACCACUUCCACUCGCAUGGGUGGGGGUUGAAAGCUCCGGCGGUGAAGGAUGAGCCCGCGGCCUAUCAGCUUGUUGGUGAGGUAAUGGCUCACCAAGGCGACGACGGGUAGCCGGCCUGAGAGGGCGACCGGCCACACUGGGACUGAGACACGGCCCAGACUCCUACGGGAGGCAGCAGUGGGGAAUAUUGCACAAUGGGCGAAAGCCUGAUGCAGCGACGCCGCGUGAGGGAUGACGGCCUUCGGGUUGUAAACCUCUUUCAGCAGGGAAGAAGCGAAAGUGACGGUACCUGCAGAAGAAGCGCCGGCUAACUACGUGCCAGCAGCCGCGGUAAUACGUAGGGCGCAAGCGUUGUCCGGAAUUAUUGGGCGUAAAGAGCUCGUAGGCGGUCUGUCGCGUCGGAUGUGAAAGCCCGGGGCUUAACCCCGGGUCUGCAUUCGAUACGGGCAGACUAGAGUGUGGUAGGGGAGAUCGGAAUUCCUGGUGUAGCGGUGAAAUGCGCAGA